CGGAAAGCUCAGUAACACGUAGUUAACAUCCCCUCGAGUCUGGGAUAAUCUCGGGAAACUGAGGCUAACACCAGAUAGACAAGGAAUACUGGAAUGUUCCCUUGUCGAAAGUCCGCGCUCGAGGAUUGGACUGCGGCGGAUUAGGUUGUUGCCAGGGUAACGUCCUGACAAGCCGAUAAUCUGUACGAGCCUUGAGAGAGGAAGCUCGGAGAUGGAUUCUGAGACAAGAAUCCAGGUCCUACGGGACGCAGCAGGCGCGAAACUUUCCCAAUGCACGAAAGUGUGAGGAAGGGAUUUGGAGUGCUUUCCCUACUUUAGGGGAAGCUUUUGUGGAGUGUUAACAGCUCCAAGAAUAAGUGGUGGGUAAGACGGGUGCCAGCCGCCGCGGUAAUACCCGCGCCACGAGUGGUGACCACGAUUAUUGGGCUUAAAGCGUUCGUAGCCGGUUCAGAAAGUCCUUAGUGAAAUCCCAUAGCUAACUAUGGGGCUUGCUAGGGAAACUUCUGGGCUUGGGACCGGGAGAGGUCUGGGGUAUUCCAGGGGUAGGGGUAAAAUCCUGUAAUCCUUGGGAGACCACCAGUGGCGAAGGCGCCGGACCAGAACGGAUCCGACCGUGAGGGACGAAAGCCAGGGGAACAAAGG
RNAcentral lists this ribosomal RNA (642 nucleotides) under uncultured archaeon. Its description in RNAcentral is "bacterial SSU rRNA". It matches the Rfam family "Archaeal small subunit ribosomal RNA", at positions 82 to 725 of the family's 1478-position model. The record is from RNAcentral.